UACGUAGGGGGCGAGCGUUGUCCGGAAUCAUUGGGCGUAAAGCGCGUGUAGGCGGCCCGGAAAGUCUGGUGUGAAAUCUUGAGGCUCAACCUUAAGCUGUCACUGGAUACUGUCGGACUUGAGUCCGGAAGAGGAGAGUGGAAUUCCUGGUGUAGCGGUGGAAUGCGCAGAUAUCAGGAGGAACACCUAUGGCGAAGGCAGCUCUCUGGUACGUGACUGACGCUGAGACGCGAAAGCGUGGGGAGCAAACAGG
RNAcentral lists this ribosomal RNA (253 nucleotides) under uncultured bacterium. Its description in RNAcentral is "partial 16S ribosomal RNA". It matches the Rfam family "Bacterial small subunit ribosomal RNA", at positions 524 to 776 of the family's 1533-position model. The record is from RNAcentral.